Molecule: transfer RNA, 72 nt
Filed under: Nippostrongylus brasiliensis
Lineage: Eukaryota; Metazoa; Nematoda; Chromadorea; Rhabditida; Heligmosomidae
Rfam family: tRNA
About the family: Transfer RNA (tRNA) molecules are approximately 80 nucleotides in length.
Source: Rfam by way of RNAcentral
GUCUCAGUAGCAUUGUGGUUAGUGCCCAUCACCGAAUAGGCUGAGACGCGGGUUCGAUUCCCGCCUGAGAUG